RNAcentral lists this ribosomal RNA (253 nucleotides) under uncultured bacterium. Its description in RNAcentral is "partial 16S ribosomal RNA". It matches the Rfam family "Bacterial small subunit ribosomal RNA", at positions 524 to 776 of the family's 1533-position model. The record is from RNAcentral.
UACGGGGGGGGCAAGCGUUGUUCGGAAUUACUGGGCGUAAAGGGCGCGUAGGCGGCGCAACAAGUCACUUGUGAAAUCUCCGGGCUUAACCCGGAGCGGCCAAGUGAUACUGUCGUGCUAGAGUGCGGAAGGGGCUACUGGAAUUCUCGGUGUAGCGGUGAAAUGCGUAGAUAUCGAGAGGAACACCUGCGGCGAAGGCGGGUAGCUGGGCCGUCACUGACGCUGAGGCGCGAAAGCCAGGGGAGCGAACAGG